This 274-nucleotide ribosomal RNA is filed under the name uncultured bacterium. Its description in RNAcentral is "partial 16S ribosomal RNA". It matches the Rfam family "Bacterial small subunit ribosomal RNA", at positions 523 to 796 of the family's 1533-position model. The record is from RNAcentral.
AUACGAAGGGUGCAAGCGUUACUCGGAAUCACUGGGCGUAAAGCGCGCGCAGGCGGCUAUUUAAGUUGGAUGUGAAAGCCUACGGCUCAACCGUAGAACUGCAUCCAAAACUAUUUAGCUAGAGUGUGGGAGAGGAAGAUGGAAUUAGUUGUGUAGGGGUAAAAUCCGUAGAGAUAACUAGGAAUACCAAAAGCGAAGGCAAUCUUCUGGAACACUACUGACGCUGCGGCGCGAAAGCGUGGGGAGCAAACAGGAUUAGAAACCCUAGUAGUCC